UACGAAGGGGGCUAGCGUUGUUCGGAUUUACUGGGCGUAAAGCGCACGUAGGCGGAUCGAUCAGUCAGGGGUGAAAUCCCAGAGCUCAACUCUGGAACUGCCUUUGAUACUGUCGAUCUGGAGUAUGGAAGAGGUGAGUGGAAUUCCGAGUGUAGAGGUGAAAUUCGUAGAUAUUCGGAGGAACACCAGUGGCGAAGGCGGCUCACUGGUCCAUUACUGACGCUGAGGUGCGAAAGCGUGGGGAGCAAACAGG
This 253-nucleotide ribosomal RNA is filed under the name uncultured bacterium. RNAcentral's name for it is "partial 16S ribosomal RNA". It matches the Rfam family "Bacterial small subunit ribosomal RNA", at positions 524 to 776 of the family's 1533-position model. RNAcentral also lists the same sequence under 2 other names. The record is from RNAcentral.